This is a long non-coding RNA of Rosa rugosa (rugosa rose), 855 nucleotides long. RefSeq lists it as uncharacterized. The record is from RefSeq and is a predicted model, not a curated record. The transcript has 4 exons. Lineage: Eukaryota; Viridiplantae; Streptophyta; Magnoliopsida; Rosales; Rosaceae.
AAAAUAGAAAAAAGCUGCUGCAGCCCUCGUCCCCGCCGGAAAUCGCCUCCGAUUUUCGUUUGGCCAUAUCUUCCUCCUCCGGCCACCGAUCCUCACCAAACUUCUUCCAUUGGCUUCGUAUGGUCCUUGCGCACCUGUCUGUGGCAGCCUUGCACGGCGGCACGGCCCCUAGCGGCGGCGGCGGCCCGGUUUCGAUUUAAGCUCGAUUUUGGUCAACGCCGGUUUUCUCCUAGCUCCGGCCACCAAAACUUCCGAUCCUUGGCUCCAUGAACUCCCCUCAACCUGCUGAUCAUCAUACUAGGAGGAUUGCACCUAGAGUGACCGGUUUCACGUUCGUCGGAGCUCGUGAGUUCUCCUUGAUGUUCUUAACAACUCUCUAGAAGGGAUCGAAGCCUGAAAUUGAAGUUUUGACGUCGAAAUCAAGCCUUGCCGGAUUCUGCAAAUUUCGCCGGAUUCUGGAAAUUUUCCGGCCACCUCGACUGUUUUAGGUGAUUGACGGUCUUCCUUGGGUGAGCGGUUUUGGUGUGUAUUGUGUUGAAUUGAAGACGCAGCGGGAAUAUCGAGCGGGUAAUCCUACAGGUCAAGAGAAUCAGGACGGAGAUCGAGCUGCGUAGAGUAGCUGCAAUUGUGUCAAUCUGAAUUGCUUUGUGAGCCGGUGAGGUGUGUUAUGCUCAUUUAGAGCUUUACAAUAUUUCUUGUGAGAGUGAAUUGUAAUAAUGAACUCGAGGUUUCGAAAUUUGAAGUUUGUGUAUCGUGUGGUGAGGUUGUUUUGAGAAAAAAAUUCAGAACGUUUAUUUGAUUAAGUGGUUUAAUUCAUGUUUCGGAUUUGAACUUAUUAUUCAAAAUUCGGGGCGU